Molecule: ribosomal RNA, 536 nt
Filed under: uncultured bacterium
Lineage: Bacteria
Description: bacterial SSU rRNA
Rfam family: Bacterial small subunit ribosomal RNA
Source: RNAcentral
AGAGUUUGAUCUGGCUCAGAUUGAACGCUGGCGGCAGGCCUAACACAUGCAAGUCGAGCGGAAACGAGUUAUCUGAACCUUCGGGGGACGAUAACGGCGUCGAGCGGCGGACGGGUGAGUAAUGCCUAGGAAAUUGCCCUGGUGUGGGGGAUAACCAUUGGAAACGAUGGCUGAUACCGCAUAAUACCUACGGGUCAAAGAGGGGGACCUUCGGGCCUCUCGCGUCAGGAUAUGCCUAGGUGGGAUUAGCUAGUUGGUGAGGUAAUGGCUCACCAAGGCGACGAUCCCUAGCUGGUCUGAGAGGAUGAUCAGCCACACUGGAACUGAGACACGGUCCAGACUCCUACGGGAGGCAGCAGUGGGGAAUAUUGCACAAUGGGCGCAAGCCUGAUGCAGCCAUGCCGCGUGUGUGAAGAAGGCCUUCGGGUUGUAAAGCACUUUCAGUCGUGAGGAAGGUAGUGUAGUUAAUAGCUGCAUUAUUUGACGUUAGCGACAGAAGAAGCACCGGCUAACUCCGUGCCAGCAGCCGCGGUAAU